This is a long non-coding RNA of Andrographis paniculata, 632 nucleotides long. RefSeq lists it as uncharacterized. The transcript has 2 exons. NCBI's taxonomy places the organism in Eukaryota, Viridiplantae, Streptophyta, Magnoliopsida, Lamiales, Acanthaceae. The record is from RefSeq and is a predicted model, not a curated record.
UCUCCUCUCUUCGUCCACUCUAUUUAUACCUCAUAUUACCAUCUCCCUCCUCAAGGCAAAACCUUCUCCAACAACCCUUCUUAAUUUCCUUACAUAUACAUACAUAUUCAUCUCUCUCUCUAUAUAUAUAUAUAUAUGUAUGUAUAUGUCUCUCUCUCUCUCCCCUAAACCACCCCAUCUGAGAUGAGAAGUGUGAAAUAGUUAAUCUUUGUAAUUAGUUGUUGGAACCGUGCAGUAGCAUCUGUUGAAGCUGCCAGCAUGAUCUAAACUCUCCUCUUUCUUGAGGAUGGAUCAGAUCAUGUGGUAGCUUCAUCAGAUCCAACCUGUGCGACAAUAUCAUUUAUUUAUUUAUUUAUUUUUAUAAAUAUAAAGAUUUUAUUUUUUUUUAAAUAAAAUUUUACACAGAAACCCUAAUUUUUGUAGAACCCUAUUUUGAAGCUUGUCUACAACUAGCUAGGGUUUCUGUUCUUGGAGAAAUUAAGGCAAGACAGCUACCAGUCUAUCAAGCUCUCUUCUUAUUGUCUUUUUUUUGUAUACAUGUAUAUAUAAUUAUGUGUAUAUUAUAGAAUAUAGAUACAUAAAUAUAUGUAUGUAUUAAGUGUACAUAUAUAUAUAUCAUAUCAUCUUCCUCA